AUUGAACGCUGGCGGCAGGCUUAACACAUGCAAGUCGAACGAUGAUUAUCUAGCUUGCUAGAUAUGAUUAGUGGCGGACGGGUGAGUAACAUUUAGGAAUCUGCCUAGUAGUGGGGGAUAGCUCGGGGAAACUCGAAUUAAUACCGCAUACGACCUACGGGUGAAAGGGGGCGCAAGCUCUUGCUAUUAGAUGAGCCUAAAUCAGAUUAGCUAGUUGGUGGGGUAAAGGCCCACCAAGGCGACGAUCUGUAACUGGUCUGAGAGGAUGAUCAGUCACACCGGAACUGAGACACGGUCCGGACUCCUACGGGAGGCAGCAGUGGGGAAUAUUGGACAAUGGGGGCAACCCUGAUCCAGCCAUGCCGCGUGUGUGAAGAAGGCCUUUUGGUUGUAAAGCACUUUAAGCAGGGAGGAGAGGCUAAUGGUUAAUACCCAUUAGAUUAGACGUUACCUGCAGAAUAAGCACCGGCUAACUCUGUGCCAGCAGCCGCGGUAAUACAGAGGGUGCGAGCGUUAAUCGGAAUUACUGGGCGUAAAGCGAGUGUAGGUGGCUCAUUAAGUCACAUGUGAAAUCCCCGGGCUUAACCUGGGAACUGCAUGUGAUACUGGUGGUGCUAGAAUAUGUGAGAGGGAAGUAGAAUUCCAGGUGUAGCGGUGAAAUGCGUAGAGAUCUGGAGGAAUACCGAUGGCGAAGGCAGCUUCCUGGCAUAAUAUUGACACUGAGAUUCGAAAGCGUGGGUAGCAAACAGGAUUAGAUACCCUGGUAGUCCACGCCGUAAACGAUGUCUACUAGCCGUUGGGGUCCUUGAGACUUUAGUGGCGCAGUUAACGCGAUAAGUAGACCGCCUGGGGAGUACGGCCGCAAGGUUAAAACUCAAAUGAAUUGACGGGGGCCCGCACAAGCGGUGGAGCAUGUGGUUUAAUUCGAUGCAACGCGAAGAACCUUACCUGGUCUCGACAUAGUGAGAAUCCUGCAGAGAUGCGGGAGUGCCUUCGGGAAUUCACAUACAGGUGCUGCAUGGCUGUCGUCAGCUCGUGUCGUGAGAUGUUGGGUUAAGUCCCGCAACGAGCGCAACCCUUUUCCUUAUUUGCCAGCGGGUUAAGCCGGGAACUUUAAGGAUACUGCCAGUGACAAACUGGAGGAAGGCGGGGACGACGUCAAGUCAUCAUGGCCCUUACGACCAGGGCUACACACGUGCUACAAUGGUAGGUACAGAGGGUUGCUACACAGCGAUGUGAUGCUAAUCUCAAAAAGCCUAUCGUAGUCCGGAUUGGAGUCUGCAACUCGACUCCAUGAAGUCGGAAUCGCUAGUAAUCGCGGAUCAGGAUGCCGCGGUGAAUACGUUCCCGGGCCU
Molecule: ribosomal RNA, 1355 nt
Filed under: uncultured bacterium
Lineage: Bacteria
Description: bacterial SSU rRNA
Rfam family: Bacterial small subunit ribosomal RNA
Source: RNAcentral